GAGUGGUUCGCAGGCAAUUUCCAAUGAAGUUGGCCUUUGCAUGUACAGCUCACAAAGUACAAGGCAUGACAAUGGAAUCAGCAGUAGUAUGCUUGAAGCGUGUUUUUGAACCUGGAAUGGCCUAUGUUGCACUCAGCCGCACAACCUCACUUAAAGGACUGUACAUCACAGACUUUGAUGAAAAGAAAAUCUAUGCUGAUCCUGCCAUCACAGAUGCACUCAAAAAUAUGAGACAUGCAUCAUUUGAGAAUGCAAGACCACUGUUGCAAUUCUUAAAAUCAGUAGAUCCCACAGUCCCCACGUUGACAAUUAUCCAUCAUAAUGCACAAGGUCUCCCAACUCACAUGGAGGACAUGAGAUGCCACCAUGAACUCAGCCUUGCUGAUGUUUUAUGUAUAACAGAAACACACUUGUCUGGAUCAUCGGUUUCUCCCCGCUUCCAGCUGGAACAAUACAACAUGGCCACACGCAACAGACACGUCUCUUACACAAAUCAUACAGACAUGGCAAAGGUAAAUGGCGGUGGAGUUGCAAUUUACUACAACACAAUUCUUACAGCAGAGUCCCGAAAAUACCUGCAAAAUGUGACUGACCUUGAAUUUGUUGUUGUCAAGGUUGAAUCGCCAGUCACAGCUUUGAUAGCAACUGUAUACAGGCCACCAAAUUACAGCCAUGUGAGGUUUUUACCACAAAUGCAAUGUCUUUUGGACUCGUUGGAAAUGAUGAAUCACCAACCAAUUAUUGUUUGUGGAGACUUCAAUGAGGACCUUAUGAGCAGAGGAAAAAAACCCAUCCAAGAACUGUUGCAGUCAAGAGGAUAUGCACAACUGAUUACUGCUGCAACUACCGAAAAACACACAUUGAUUGAUCACAUUUACAUAUCACAGCCAUACGCCUGCCUCCAAUCAGGUGUUCUGAAUACAUAUCACAGUUAUCAUAACCCCAUUUAUUGUGUUAUUCACUAACACAAAAUGACUGCAAGGGUAUGAGGGAUAUGGACUUGCCAAGUGUCACUCCCUAUUGGCCUACUCUCGCCUAAAAGUCAUACAGAUGGACCUAAAUAUGGAUAUCAGCAUCUACAACAAGAAGUACAGGAGCUGUGACCAUCUGGGUCUGCUUGCUGCUGGCAUUUUGCCAGAGCCCCAGCAACAAGACCGCCUCCCAGCUACGAGACUGCCUGUAAGCCUUGCAAGAUGCCGAGAAAAAAUAAAAGAUCCCAGGCACAAAAGAAGCGCUGGAAACCACUUGACCUGGUCGAUCCUGCUGUCCCAAUGCUCACUGGCCACAACCAAGAUGAGGCAGUCAGUAGUUUUCCAUCUGACCAGACAGCACCAGCCAGGUUGUCCUUGGUAACGGAGAAUAGACCCACCUCCUUAUGUCCUCCAGGCAGCAAGACACAACAGAACACCAGCCUCUACGUGGUGCGAAGCCUACUGCAACAAAAACGUGAUCUUCAUGUCUUUGCGACUGAGCACGCUCUACCAGCAACACUGACAGCUCACCAGUGGGAGCUCAUAGAUAAGACUGCUGAUGUGCUGUCAUCCAUUGAAGAGCUGACUAGAAACGUGAACAGAAAGACUGCAACUGCACCUGAUGGGAUCCCUGCCAUAACAGAUGUGUUCUGUCCAGUGAAGGCAGUGGAGAAGCUCUACACUGAUGUUGAAACUGUGCCACUCUUCUAGAAACCAGCUACAAGGAUGGGCAGCUGUUUUUGCAAAGUCAGCCAACCUCUUGUUUCCAAAUGACCCUUAUCCAGAAGUAUCCGUGAAUGCCUCAUGAGAAGAAACUAAAGUGGAGACCUACCUCUCAGAGAAAAACGCACACAUAAGAAAAGCGACCUACUUCAGUACUGGAAAGAACAUCCUAAUCUGUCUCCCUCUAUGGCUGCUGUUGCGAUCCCAGUGUGCCCCCUGUAGCUCUGUGGACAGUUUUUGAUUUGUUUGCAUCUCACCCCAACCGGUCGCGGCAGAUGGCUGCCCCUCCCUGAGCCUGGUUCUGCCGG
Molecule: non-coding RNA, 2002 nt
Organism: Maylandia zebra (zebra mbuna)
Lineage: Eukaryota; Metazoa; Chordata; Actinopteri; Cichliformes; Cichlidae
Source: RefSeq, a predicted model, not a curated record